This 3015-nucleotide long non-coding RNA is filed under the name Homo sapiens (human). RNAcentral's name for it is "PREDICTED lncRNA (TCONS_00189721)". The record is from RNAcentral. Lineage: Eukaryota; Metazoa; Chordata; Mammalia; Primates; Hominidae.
AAUUUGUAUAGAACUCUUUCUACUAGCUUCCAGGAAUCCCUGCUCUGUGAGCUUUUUGCCAAACUGAUUGAUCUUCCCAGACAUAAUCUGGGGACCUUCUCUAAUAUGCCCCUGUCCCGCUGUCAGCUUAAUACACUCUUUUGCUAAGUAAUAGGGUAUUGCUAGUGUUCUUCCAGGUUCUCUUCAUAAAGGCGCUUCUCUGUCAAUAAGAGACUGUGUUUAUAUUCUUGUGCACAAAUAACUGGCCCUCUUCUCAGUGUUUGAGAUCCCUCAUCUUGCUCCGACUGUUGCAGCCUUUUCUCGCCAUGACAGACUGCCAUACUACAUGGCCUUCUCCCAUCGAAAGGGUCUAGCAUGUGGACCACUGAACUGCCAAGGAAGCAGUCCAACUGCCCUGAGGCUGCCAUGCUGUGAGGAAACCCAAAGUGGUCCAUAAAGAAGGAUUAUGUGGAGGGACCCUGAAAGAUGCCUGGCCUGCCUCCCACUGCUCCAGUACCCUCCUCCCCAACUCUUCCAGCUUCAGCCACUGUCUGCAACCACAUGAGAGCUCCCGAGCCAUAAAUGCCCAGCCUAGUCUCCCCUAAGUUUCUAACCCACAGUUUAAACUACUAAGCUUGGGUUGCUUUGUUAUGCCUCAAUAGCAACUGGGACAUGCCCCUUUCUCCAUUCUGCUGCUGAAUCUGGUUACAGCAGCAGAGACACAUGCCAGGGGCAUCUCUAGUAACAGGGGAAAGCCCUUUGGGAGUAGAUUCAAAGUGGGGGGUCAAGACAAAUUAUUCAGCGAGCCUGACUUUUAGAACUCAAGGGGCACCAAGUAAGUGCAUGAUCCUGAGGCAAUCAAUUCCUCUCGUUUUCCUUUUUUUGUAAAGGGAUGAACUAGACACAGUGUGGAAAGCCAGCUUUACCACAUUCUCCUACGAUCUUCUGAAGUUACCUAAUCUCUCUAACCCCAGAUUCCUCUUCUGUAAAAUGGGGAUAAUAGCCACAAAAAUAGAACAGUAGUGUAAAAUUAGAUAGUAUGUGUGGAAAAGUAGAGUCUUGAAACUUGACUUAAGUGGUUGAUGAAUGUUAGCCCCCUCCACCAAUGCCUUCCCCUUGCAUUCUAAUAUUCUCUGCUCCUCUGAGCAAAUUUACCAGAUGAUUGUUGGAGUUUUUUGUAAUCCUCAUCAAGUCAGAGAAGACUAGUGAGGUUGUGGCAAAUAAAUGAUUCUGAGGGUCCAGGGCGAGCUUUAGGUAAAUUGUGGUUUUAGUGUUUGAGAAAGAGCCUGUCACUAGUGGGAGUCUUCAUUAUUCACUGGCAAGAUAUAACAAGCAGGGCUUUGCAGUAAUGCACAGCUCCUCUGCUCUUGGCAAUCUUGUGGCCGAAAGAUAUUUUUAAAGCCCCUGUUUUCAGAUGACCGUGUUUCUGAUUAGCAUGUGUCUUUUCCAUUUUCAGUUCCACGAAGAGAAAGGCAAGUGAAAUUUGCCCAGCCUCACCAUCUCCAAAUGGGUGAUAUUACUGAACAAUUAUUUAAUGGCCCCACAGCAUCUGUUUUUUAUAUUUUGGGGUCCAUACUGGAAGUUCAAGCUUAUGAAUAAUCCAGAUAUUUAAAAGCCAAUGCUCAACUGGAUAUUCUCCUUAGGAUUAUUUUAGCCUUGUCUAGAAUCAGAGUGUCUGUCAAUUGCCACAACAUAUAUAUUAAGUUUGAAAGAGAUUAAGCUGGAAAAUUCGAUAUUUUAAAAAUAAUACCAAGAGAGGCUGGGAGCAGAAAGAGAAGAAAAGAUAACUAUUGGGUACUGGGUGAUGAAAUAAUAUUUACAAUAAACCCCCAUGGCAAGUGUUUACCUAUGUAGCAAACCUUCACAUGCACCCCCAAACAUAAAAUAAAAGUUAAAGAAAGAAAAAAACAGAAACUCUUACUUAUAACUCAUUUCAUUUAAUAACGUUUUUACUCUUUUAAAAAUAAAAUAAUGCUAAUGAUGAUGAUAACAGGGUUCAUACCUGUAGAGCAUUUUACAAGUGGCAGAGAGCUUUCAUUGAUAUCAUUUCUCUUAAGUCUUCACCCUGUGAGGUAGGCAUAGAAAGAAAUUUUAUCCCCAAAUGACAGAUGAAAAAAUAGAGAGCCCAUGAGUUUAACUGACUUGCUCAAAGCCACAAAGGCUGCAUUUCCUGAGCCUGAGUACCCCUAGGAAGAGCUCCAGCCAAUCUAGGGUGCAGAACCAAUGAGUUAGUUUAUCAUUUAUCAAUCCCAGUGAUGCAUAAGCUGUGCAGAAUUAGAAAGGUCAGCUCCAGGCUGGCCCACCAAAAAAGUAGAGGAAAACUUGGGAAUGCCCACUAGCCUAUUCAGAAGUUGGAUUCAGGUUGGGAGAAAGAAAAUAGGAGCCGAAUUAUUUUGAGGUGGUAUACACGAGUUACCUAUUGCCAUUGUAACAAAGCCAGCACAAACUUGGUGGCUUACAAUGACAUAAAUUUAUCCUUUUACAGUUCUGGAAACCAAAAAUCCAACAUUAAUUUCUCUGGGCUUUCAAAUCAAGCUGCCAGCAGGGAGAGUUCCUUCUGGAGGCUGUAGGGGAGAAUGUAUUUCCUUGCCUUUUUCAGCUUCCAGAGAUUCUCAUAUUCUUUGACUUGUGGCCCCUUCCUCCAUCUUCAAUGCAUAUAAUCUCUGUUUCCAUUGUCACACAACUCUCCUCCUACACCUUACAAUGGACCCAUCUGGAUGACAUGGGAUAAUCUCUGCACUUCAUGACCCCUAACUUAAUCACAUCUGCAAAGUCCCUUUAACAUGUAGGAGAACAUAGUCCCAGGUUCCAGGAAUUAGGACAUGGGCAUCUUUGGGACCAUCAUUCAGUCUACCAUAGGUGACAAGGUGACAGGCGGAUGGUGGCCACCGUUUUUUUUUGCAUGGUUGUGUUUGCCUGUCUGAAAGCCACACUCCUCACUGCCACCUGACAUGUAGAGGCCAAAAUAGAAAACACAUCUUCAGAUCCCAAGUAAAGUGCUCUUUCAGGCACGUCACACCUGCCAUCUCAAACUAU